RNAcentral lists this non-coding RNA (43 nucleotides) under Camelimonas lactis. The record is from RNAcentral. Lineage: Bacteria; Pseudomonadati; Pseudomonadota; Alphaproteobacteria; Hyphomicrobiales; Chelatococcaceae.
AGAAGGGCUUCCGGAACAUCGUUUCGGGGGCCUUUUUCUUUGC